RNAcentral lists this long non-coding RNA (679 nucleotides) under Marmota monax (woodchuck). The record is from RNAcentral. Lineage: Eukaryota; Metazoa; Chordata; Mammalia; Rodentia; Sciuridae.
AGGCUGUCUGAUGGGACUUCACUCUGGGUGCUGGCAGGGACGUUGUGUGGCCUGGGUGAAUGUGGGGAGGAGGCAUUUCUUCCUCCCCCCCCCCCUUCUCUCCCAGUUUCUUCAGGGCUUGGGGGUCUUCUCAGGGAGACCCCCACUGUGAUGCCCCUCCUGCUGCUGUUGGAUUCUAGAGGCCAGCCACUGGCAGGCCAUUCCACUGGCCUGCCUUGCCCUGAGUUCUGCAAGUGAGGACCGGUGCCUAGUAUCUUGAUGUGCCCUCUGUUCCUCAUUGUCAUGUCACAGCUGCCCUGAGCUGUUUGCUCCGCUGCUGGGGCCAGAUUGAAGCAAACACGGGUCAGCAAUCUUUUAAUUUUUAAAGUUAUUGUUAUUACUUAUUUAUUUUUUGCAGUGCUGGGACUGGAAACCAGGGCCGCAUGCUACCCAAGUGCUGUACCACUUAGCUACAGCCCCAGCCCCUGGCUGGGCCUUAAAAAAAAAAAAAAUUUUUUUUUAAUUACUUUGAUUUCAGUGUCUCCCCUCCUCAAAGUAUAUCCAAAGUGCUUACUCUAAAAUGGAGCAUGUUCUAUUUAGAAAUGCUUUUAAAGUGUGUUUUAAGUUACAAGAGUAAUAUAUUCUUAAGAAACUUUGUGGCUCAGCGGUAGAGCGCUCACCUCGCAUGUGCAAGAUCCUG